GGCAACAGCUCAAAUUUGAAAUCUGGCUCUUUCAGAGUCCGAGUUGUAAUUUGCAGAGGGCGCUUUGGCAUUGGCAGCGGUCUAAGUUCUUUGGAACAGGACGUCACAGAGGGUGAGAAUCCCGUAUGUGGUCGCUAGCCUUUGCUGUGUAAAGCCCCUUCGACGAGUCGAGUUGUUUGGGAAUGCAGCUCUAAAUGGGAGGUAAAUUUCUUCUAAAGCUAAAUACUGGCCAGAGACCGAUAGCGCACAAGUAGAGUGAUCGAAAGAUGAAAAGCACUUUGGAAAGAGAGUCAAAUAGCACGUGAAAUUGUUGAAAGGGAAGCGCUUGCAGCCAGACUUGCCUGUAGUUGCUUAUCCGGACUUUUGUCCGGUGCACUCUUCUGCGGGCAGGCCAGCAUCAGUUUGGGCGGUUGGAUAAAGGUCUCUAUCACGUACCUCUCUUCGGGGAGGCCUUAUAGGGGAGACGUCAUGCAACCAGCCUGGACUGAGGUCCGCGCAUCUGCUAGGAUGCUGGCGUAAUGGCUGUAAGCGGCCCGUCUUGAAACACGGACCAAGGAGUCUAACAUCUAUGCGAGUGUUUGGGUGUCAAGCCCAUACGCGUAAUGAAAGUGAACGGAGGUGGGAACCCUUUGGGUGCACCAUCGACCGAUCCUGAUGUCUUCGGAUGGAUUUGAGUAAGAGCAUGGCUGUUGGGACCCGAAAGAUGGUGAACUAUGCUUGAAUAGGGUGAAGCCAGAGGAAACUCUGGUGGAGGCUCGCAGCGGUUCUGACGUGCAAAUCGAUCGUCAAAUUUGGGCAUAGGGGCGAAAGACUAAUCGAACUAUCUAGUAGCUGGUUCCUGCCGAAGUUUCCCUCAGGAUAGCAGUAACGUAUUCAGUUUUAUGAGGUAAAGCGAAUGAUUAGAGGCCUGGGGGUUGAAACAACCUUCACCUAUUCUCAAACUUUA
This 946-nucleotide ribosomal RNA is filed under the name Tintelnotia destructans. Its description in RNAcentral is "eukaryotic LSU rRNA". It matches the Rfam family "Eukaryotic large subunit ribosomal RNA", at positions 100 to 1067 of the family's 3401-position model. The record is from RNAcentral. Lineage: Eukaryota; Fungi; Ascomycota; Dothideomycetes; Pleosporales; Phaeosphaeriaceae.